UAGGAGAAUAUGGGAUUCUGGCAGCGCAGAAUCACAGCUGUGGUUUGGUCAACUUCAAGUUUGUGUGCAGAGUGAUACUGUUUAGAAGACUUGAGGCUGCUAAAUCAAAAUUCCUUGGAGUUAUAAUUGAUACUACUCUGCAAUGUCUUAUUCUGAAUACCAAUAUGAGGACAAGAGUGGAGAACAAAGGAGAAUUUUGAAAGCCAACAACAGAAAAUUCAACACUUC
Sorex araneus (European shrew) is the source of this 228-nucleotide long non-coding RNA. RefSeq lists it as uncharacterized. The transcript has 3 exons. The record is from RefSeq and is a predicted model, not a curated record. Lineage: Eukaryota; Metazoa; Chordata; Mammalia; Eulipotyphla; Soricidae.